AUUGAACGCUGGCGGCAGGCCUAACACAUGCAAGUCGAGCGGAUGAGUGGAGCUUGCUCCAUGAUUCAGCGGCGGACGGGUGAGUAAUGCCUAGGAAUCUGCCUGGUAGUGGGGGACAACGUUUCGAAAGGAACGCUAAUACCGCAUACGUCCUACGGGAGAAAGCAGGGGACCUUCGGGCCUUGCGCUAUCAGAUGAGCCUAGGUCGGAUUAGCUAGUAGGUGGGGUAAUGGCCCACCUAGGCGACGAUCCGUAACUGGUCUGAGAGGAUGAUCAGUCACACUGGAACUGAGACACGGUCCAGACUCCUACGGGAGGCAGCAGUGGGGAAUAUUGGACAAUGGGCGAAAGCCUGAUCCAGCCAUGCCGCGUGUGUGAAGAAGGUCUUCGGAUUGUAAAGCACUUUAAGUUGGGAGGAAGGGCAGUAAGUUGAUACCUUGCUGUUUUGACGUUACCAACAGAAUAAGCACCGGCUAACUUCGUGCCAGCAGCCGCAGUAA
RNAcentral lists this ribosomal RNA (500 nucleotides) under uncultured bacterium. RNAcentral's name for it is "partial 16S ribosomal RNA". It matches the Rfam family "Bacterial small subunit ribosomal RNA", at positions 30 to 523 of the family's 1533-position model. The record is from RNAcentral.